UUAUAACAAUAAUUCGUGGUUCUGCGAGGCCCCAGACUCGGGUUAUCGAAUGAGGAAACGUGGAACAUUGAACCGGAUAGAUGAAAAUGUCAUCACCAACUAGUGGAGUUUCCUGUGGGGAUAGUAUUGGGAAUAAGUUUGGUGGGUGGUGAUUGAUUAUUUUUAUUCCGUGGAUUUCAUGUCAGUGUGUACAUCUACUUAAUAAAAAUGCAUGAAAACGAAAUAUGUUGAUGUUAAAUUAUGAAAAGAAAUCUAUUGAUCGAACGAGAGCGUGGUAGGAAAUAUCACGGUGCGUUAGUGCAAGGAUCCUAACCUUGUUAAAAAUGAAGUCGGGCACCAUGGACAAACAUAGAGGCUCUACAAUUCUGAAAUCAGAAGAAAAUGAGCAAGUCUUCCAAUUAAUAGGAAAUCGGUGCCAGUGUUUAGCAGCUGGAGUUAUACAAUUAUAUUUGACAGAACCGCCACUACAUAAAGAAUGGAUAAAGAAAACUACAGGUAUUAUAACAUUGAUAAGGGAUAAUCCUAGACGUAGUUUCUUCCUUCGUUUGUAUUGCUUACAAAGAAAAGCAAUGUUGUGGGAACAUGAAGUUUAUAAUGCAAUGGAUUAUAAAGCGCCAUUGACAUACUUUCAUACAUUUGAAGCAGAAGAUUGUAUGGCGGCUUUUAAUUUUGCAAGCGAAACUGAUGCUGUUACUUUAAGAAAUAUUCUUCUUGGUAAAUUGAAUGCCAAACGUCAAAAAAGGCAGCAAAGACGAUCUAAAAUAGAAGGAGAAGUUCAACAUGGUGCAACGUUACCCUGGAGGAAUCAGAGUAACACAUCACCCACUACAUUUAGUACAGGAUCAACUUCUAAUUUAUUAAAUGGAACUCCGACCACUGUUGAUGUCAAUAGAAGCGCUUCAAGUAGUUCCAUAUACAAAACUAAAAAGAAAAAGCGAGAUAAAAUGAAAAAGAAAUUAACAAAAGAUGACAUAGGUCCUCCAUCUAACUUUAGACAUGUUAUGGGAUGGAAUUCUAAUAAUAAAGGACUGGAUUUAGAAUCGCUUGAUUUAUAUUUAAAAAUUUUUCUCGAUAAAGUAGGAGUAUCGGAACAUCAAUUCAGGAACCAAGAGACACGCAAUUUUAUUUACGAUUUUAUCGAGAAGAAUGGAGGCAUGAAUGCCAUUCGAGAAGAUAUUUCUUCCUCUGUCUCAAAAGCUAAUACACAGCAGCAGUCACAACAACAGCAACAUCAACAGCAGUCACAACAACAACAACAACAGCCACAACAACAACAACAACCUCCAGUUGCACCUCCAAGACAGGAAUAUCCUCCUCCAGUUCCUGCAAGAACUAUACCUCAUCAAACAAGAAGUGCUCCACCAUUACCUCCAAGCCGAUUUAAUGCACCUUCGACACCGCCAAAUGCACCGCUUACUGCGCCCCCAGUACAUAGAACAUUACCAACGCGACCACCUCCAGUUUCUUUAACUUCGGCACCAUCACUGCCACCACCUCCACCUCCGGCUCCACCAGCUCCAACUCCACCCUCCAGAAAUAAUUCUACUGCACCUGUUCCACCUCCACCUCCAUUGCCUAACCUAAUAAACGCCAAUGAAGGAACUGUGAAUACAAGUGCUACCAAUAAUAAUAAUCAUAGUAAUAAUAAUAAUAACGAAGAAAAUGCUGAUCCUAGAUCAAUGCUCAUGCAGUCCAUAAGAAGUGGCACCACGCUUAGAAAGGUUGAUAAAUCUGAAACAAAACCAGCAGCUCCUGUUGGGGACUCUAGAAAUGCUUUAUUGGAACAAAUUCGUCAGGGAAUUGAAUUAAGGCCUGUUUCGAAUGAAGUAAAGUCUAAAACACCAGUAUCUCAAGGUGGAUUAGCUAGUGCUUUGUCAAGAGCUCUUGCAGAGCGAUCAAGUGCAAUCCAUAGCGAAAGUGAUGAAUCAACUAGUGAAACCAGCGAAGAUGACGAUGAAUGGGAUGAUUAAUUCAGAUGAAAUAUGCAAUUCGAAGAAUACAAUAAUAUACCACUGUGAUAAAUCUGCUAUUGAUAAACAUGUAAACAUGAAUAGCUACUAUAAAUGUAUAAUGUAACGAUUUUGAAUUUGAAUUAUCCAAAGAAGAAUGAAAAUCAUAUAAAUGUUCUGAAAAGGGAAAACCACUUAAACAUGUUAUCAAAAAGUAAAGCACAAUUAAAUGGAUAGGGCAGGAACCAGAAAAAAGUUGCGUUUCAUAGGAUACAAGGAAACUAACGUUAAGUGAGUUUUCAUUACACGAUAUUCUAAUUUAAAAUGACGCAUCAAACGAUUCUUGAAUGUCCUAUUAAAGUAUGUAUAAAGUACGAUUAACGAUGUAGUAAGAAUUUUAUAUUUUCACGUGUGUGAUAUAGGUAUCAAGUUCGCGGAAAUGAAGCGCAAACUGAGAAAUUGUCUAUGGAAAUGUAUGAAGCACAAGAUAGAGUUACGCCACUAUGGAGCAAUCCUAGUCACACCAGAAAAAAAAGAAUAUGUUAAUUAUUAGUUAUUGUAUUUUAUUAUAUUCUAUGCAAUAUUAUCUAACGUAAAUAUACCGUUCGACGAAUGACUACAUUCGACUGAUUAAAAUCACACGUUACAGGAUUUGUUCGGCUGCUUCAAUCUUUAAUCAAGCGUAAUCAUUAUCGAGAGCGUAAUCAAGAAAGGAGCUAUAACUAUAUUUGUUAAUUAGAAUAAAGAGAAGAUAGUGACAAAUAUUUAAAUGAAAAAAGAAAGACUUGUUAUAGAUGAGCUAAUAGCAUAUGAGAAUAAGACUCAAGAGGAUUACAAAUUCUACAAUUGAUGAAUGCAUCAGAAGUAUUGUUGUAUUUAAGAAACAAAUAGACCUAUAGUGGACGCGUAUUUUUGUCCAGUUUCCAGAGGUACAUUCGUCGUCGACCGAAUGUACGAAUAUAGACAUGUUACAAAUCGUAUUCGGUUUGUAUUGUGACUACCAAAUAUGAAAAACUAUAAAAAAAAGAAUUAAUUCACUUUAA
This 2992-nucleotide unclassified non-coding RNA is filed under the name Megachile rotundata (alfalfa leafcutting bee). Its description in RNAcentral is "neural Wiskott-Aldrich syndrome protein-like, transcript variant X10". Lineage: Eukaryota; Metazoa; Arthropoda; Insecta; Hymenoptera; Megachilidae. The record is from RNAcentral.